AAAGGGAGACCUAAUUCAGGUAACAGACGAAAAAAAAGUAGUCGCUACCAAGAAUCAAUCCCAAAAGGUCGGAGCGAGGCGAAAUUGGCUUUCAAACUAGGUUCUGGGUUCAAACAAGACCUGAAUCAGGAACAAGGGCUAUUAGCUCAGGUGGUUAGAGCGCACCCCUGAUAAGGGUGAGGUCCCUGGUUCGAGUCCAGGAUGGCCCACCUGCACAGGUGGCAAAAACAAGAGAAGCGAGGAAUCAGCACCUUAUCUUACUUAUAUAGUAAGAGAGAAUGCUGGCUCUGAGUAAAGAGUCCAGAGGAACCUUGAAAACUGCAUAGAGCUAGGUGAAAAAGCCAAAAAAGAAGACCGCAAG
RNAcentral lists this transfer RNA (361 nucleotides) under uncultured Microcystis sp. RNAcentral describes it as "partial 16S-23S ribosomal RNA intergenic spacer". The stretch from base 136 to 209 matches the Rfam family "tRNA". Lineage: Bacteria; Bacillati; Cyanobacteriota; Cyanophyceae; Chroococcales; Microcystaceae. The record is from RNAcentral.